This 229-nucleotide ribosomal RNA is filed under the name uncultured bacterium. RNAcentral's name for it is "partial 16S ribosomal RNA". It matches the Rfam family "Bacterial small subunit ribosomal RNA", at positions 568 to 796 of the family's 1533-position model. The record is from RNAcentral.
CGUGUAGGCGGCUUGGUAAGUCGGAUGUGAAAGUCCCGGGCUCAACCCGGGAAGUGCAUUCGAAACUGCUAGGCUUGAGUAAGAGAGAGGAAAGUGGAAUUCCUGGUGUAGAGGUGAAAUUCGUAGAUAUCAGGAGGAACACCGGUGGCGAAGGCGACUUUCUGGCUCUAUACUGACGCUGAGACGCGAAAGCGUGGGUAGCAAACAGGAUUAGAUACCUUGGUAGUCC